GGCUUUCCAACAGCGGAUUUCUUCAUCCUUGCAGUCUCUGACCCAUGAUGGAACACUGAGGCCCAUCUGCUGGACAGAGCUUCCUGUGCUACUGACUACUGGUACUGCAGUGGUUUAAACACCUCAACUUGCGAUGCUCACAGAAUCUGUUCAUGGUUUGUGAUGAACUGGUGGCAGUGUUUAAUAUCCAUUCUUUUAAUACGAAUUCACAGUAAUAUGACAUAAACACAGUCUCUAAGGUACAGCAUAAACCUGCAUCUCUACCCGUCAGCGGUGUCACUAGACCUGCCUGUCUGUCUGGGAUGCUGCCGAUGAGUCCCAAGAGUGAGCCGAUUGUGGUAACUGUUGGUCCUUCAACACUGUGAUCAUCCUUUACAGCAAGAAACGAAACAGGUUACUAACAUUUCUAACAGCUACUUUGACAUUGUAAAGCUACUCAAGAGAAUCACUCCUGCCAAAAUGUAUGCUUUCUGCCCAAGAUGGAAAAUACGUUUAAUAUUUGUGACCUCGUGAAUGUGACCAGCACAUCUACAUUAGGAGCUGAUAGGAAGUAUAUAUGCUAGAGUGGCAUUUACAUACUUUCAUAUAAAGCAGAUUUUAAAAAUAUAAAUGAAGUAACUUCAAGUUUUCAAAACUUGUGUAAUUCAGCUUAAAGUAUAUCAGAUAUUUCUGGAAGAUGACCAAAAAAAUUCUUUUAAGUAUAGAAGAGAAUUUUUCAUCAAAAAUACUAUUUGAUUUCACACUUUCAGGAAGGUAAUGAGAGGUCUUGAUGGCUGAGGUCUCCAGAAAUUGAAGAAAAGGGAAAUGUUUCUAUCUCGGGAGCCACGUCCUUAUGUGUAUAAAGCUGAAUCGGGUACCACGUCCUUAUGGAUGUAAAGCUGAGUUGACUGGAAUACCAGUGGCAUGUGCGGUUCUGGUUAACUGAAGAUUCACUAGCAAAUACUCAGUAGUUACUAUUA
RNAcentral lists this long non-coding RNA (959 nucleotides) under Heterocephalus glaber (naked mole-rat). Its description in RNAcentral is "lncRNA (ENSHGLG00100038234.1)". Lineage: Eukaryota; Metazoa; Chordata; Mammalia; Rodentia; Bathyergidae. The record is from RNAcentral.